UACGUAGGGUGCAAGCGUUGUCCGGAAUUAUUGGGCGUAAAGAGCUCGUAGGCGCUUCGUCACGUCGGCUGUGAAAUCCCGAGGCUCAACCUCGGGUCUGCAGUCGAUACGGGCGGACUGGAGUACUGCAGGGGAGACUGGAAUUCCUGGUGUAGCGGUGAAAUGCGCAGAUAUCAGGAGGAACACCAGUGGCGAAGGCGCCACUCUGGGCCGUAACUGACGCUGAGGAGCGAAAGCGUGGGUAGCAAACAGG
Molecule: ribosomal RNA, 253 nt
Filed under: uncultured bacterium
Lineage: Bacteria
Description: partial 16S ribosomal RNA
Rfam family: Bacterial small subunit ribosomal RNA
Source: RNAcentral